This 139-nucleotide ribosomal RNA is filed under the name uncultured bacterium. RNAcentral describes it as "partial 16S ribosomal RNA". It matches the Rfam family "Bacterial small subunit ribosomal RNA", at positions 355 to 509 of the family's 1533-position model. The record is from RNAcentral.
UGGGGAAUAUUGCACAAUGGGGGGAAACCCGUGAUGCAGCGACGCCGCGUGAAGGAUGAAGUAUUUCGGUAUGUAAACUUCUAUCAGCAGGGAAGAAAAUGACGGUACCUGACUAAGAAGCCCCGGCUAACUACGUGCC